RNAcentral lists this ribosomal RNA (988 nucleotides) under Microbacterium trichothecenolyticum. RNAcentral's name for it is "bacterial SSU rRNA". It matches the Rfam family "Bacterial small subunit ribosomal RNA", at positions 477 to 1533 of the family's 1533-position model. The record is from RNAcentral. Lineage: Bacteria; Bacillati; Actinomycetota; Actinomycetes; Micrococcales; Microbacteriaceae.
CUGCAGAAAAAAAGCGCGGCCUAACUACGUGCCAGCAGCGCGGUAAUACGUAGGUGCGCAAGCGUUAUCCGGGAAUUAUUAGGCGUAAAGAAGCUCGUAGGCGGUUUGUCGCGUCUGCUGUGAAAUCCGAGGCUCAACCUCGGGCCUGCAGUGGGUACGGGCAGACUAGAGUGCGGUAGGGGAGAUUGGAAUUCCUGGUGUAGCGGUGGAAUGCGCAGAUAUCAGGAGGAACACCGAUGGCGAAGGCAGAUCUCUGGGCCGUAACUGACGCUGAGGAGCGAAAGGGUGGGGAGCAAACAGGCUUAGAUACCCUGGUAGUCCACCCCGUAAACGUUGGGAACUAGUUGUGGGGACCAUUCCACGGUUUCCGUGACGCAGCUAACGCAUUAAGUUCCCCGCCUGGGGAGUACGGCCGCAAGGCUAAAACUCAAAGGAAUUGACGGGGACCCGCACAAGCGGCGGAGCAUGCGGAUUAAUUCGAUGCAACGCGAAGAACCUUACCAAGGCUUGACAUACACCAGAACACCGUAGAAAUACGGGACUCUUUGGACACUGGUGAACAGGUGGUGCAUGGUUGUCGUCAGCUCGUGUCGUGAGAUGUUGGGUUAAGUCCCGCAACGAGCGCAACCCUCGUUCUAUGUUGCCAGCACGUAAUGGUGGGAACUCAUGGGAUACUGCCGGGGUCAACUCGGAGGAAGGUGGGGAUGACGUCAAAUCAUCAUGCCCCUUAUGUCUUGGGCUUCACGCAUGCUACAAUGGCCGGUACAAAGGGCUGCAAUACCGUGAGGUGGAGCGAAUCCCAAAAAGCCGGUCCCAGUUCGGAUUGAGGUCUGCAACUCGACCUCAUGAAGUCGGAGUUGUUAGUAAUCGCAGAUCAGCAACGCUGCGGUGAAUAAUUUUUUGUUUUUUGUACUCCCCGCCUAACAAGUCCAAAAAAAAUAUUUAUUUUGUCCUGGCUCCUAAGUAGUAGAAGGAAGUAGUAUAGAGU